AAUGCGAUGACUUGCCAGGAUCAAUCGUUCGAACGUGCAAGAGCUGAUCAUCGACGAAGGACAUACAAUUUCGAUCAAGUUCAGAUCAGCAUUUGUUACUCACCUUAAGAUGGAAUCUGCCCUCAGAGUACCGCGUACGGUCAGCGCGCGAUUCAUCUCCUCUAUUGCGUAGAACCGGCUUACCCAACAGAUAACAGGAAUAUCAACUCGAAUUGAUUAAACUAGGGGUCCUAGCAGCAGCAGAUGAUUCUCUGGUCAAACAGUAAGCACCACUGCACUCACUCUUGCUUAGUUAUCGACGAUGGUCGACCAUCUCAUCGUGAAUGUGAACGGCUUCUCCUGCUUCCUACCAUAAGUUCAGCAGGGCCAUACAACUCACACCUCAGCUGUAGCUUCUGCUGUUGUUGCUGUCCGUUAGCCGUUGGGAAUGACGGCGUUCCCAGACAACAUACUGCCAAUGUCGUCUGCUAUGCAUCAUCGAGCGGCGGCGGCGGCGGCGGCGGUGAUGUUCAGCUCUGCUAUAGCAACCUGCCUAUCUUUUAUUUUAUUCUUCCAUAGAGACCAACCUAUUUAUUAACUACUUUCUUACUAGGCGCAAUUUGUCAAUAUUCUGAGGCGUGCUCUUUGUUAUGCUUAGUAUCAAUGAGUAAAGCGGAAACGACUGUCGCGCCAGUGGCAGACCAUACGAGCAUUGGAGAAACCGGCUGGUUGAAUAAAGGCUGUUUAUUAUAGACGAUAACAAAACAUCAACCUGUAGAUGUUAUUAUUUAAAGUGGGUACAGAACAAACACAAAAACGGUAUUCAAACCACUCCUGAAAGUUAAUUUAAUCGUGAUGUUUAUUUUUCACCACGGGGGCGAAGCUUAAACUCCGAGCAUUUUGAAAUAAUUAGAUGUAUUCCAGUGAACACGUUGUUACUCAAUUAUUCGUCGGCUCAUUGAUAUGGAUUUCUUUUUGGGGCCAUAAUAUCCAUAAAACCAUAGGCAUUAUCUCAGUGUAAAAAGCCCUAAAUCAUACUAUAUAGCGCAAAUAUUAGUUUGCAACGUUUAGAUGUUAACUGCGAUCGUUACGGGCUAAUUUAAGUGAAUAUAAAAAUGGCAAUACAAAAUAUUCAUUAUAAUCCAAUAUACGGUCCGUAUUUUCGCAGAAUAAACAGAUACUGAUUUGGCAAAUUUAGAUGGUGCGACUAAACUACAGAAAAAUGAAAAUUCUGAGACGAUGCAAAGAAACCUGUGAAAAAAAAAAGUAAAACUAUAAGAAAUCUGUUAAAUAGUAAAGAAUUUUUUUUUCGGUAUUUUAUUUAGUAGCAUGCAACACAUUAGUUCAUGUAUAGGUUCAUACCUUUGUUUACUAUUAUACUACGCAUUAGUAACGAAACAUGGUCUAUUUAAACUGAUACAAAUAGUACUGGCUUAAUCUGCAAUUUACCUACAAUGCUAAUUUUUCCUCAUCAUUAUUAUUGUCAUUAUUAACCCCGUCGUUCCACUAUUAUUUAAAUGUAGAUUUAUGUUGUAGCGUCUUAUCAACUAUCUGUAAAUAUAACUGUCAGAAAGACAUCAAAAGUAGUCAUAAGGAUUUGUUGGCACAUCGCUUAUUUAUUAUUAUUUGUCUUUCUGUAAGUUUGAGGGCACAGAAAUAUAAUUUAUAAGUUUUAUCAUAUCCGUCAACGUCAACCGCUUGUUCUUUCUUUUUUUGUUGUAUGAUACAAUGCCGUCGUUAUUAUCGUUCAGUUUCUAUAAACGUGAACUAGAUUUAAGAGAGGUUACCCUUUGUCUAGUUUCGUUUUGUCUGUCGCAAGAUAAAAAUUAGUUAAUUUUGACAUUUCAUACUGCAUUGGAAAUAAUCGGCAACAACCAUAGUCAAUUUUACAACAUCGUUCUAGUGAUCAGAGCGUAUAAAACGGUUAUUUAAAGUCUCGAUUGGUAUGUGCCCCGGGGAAAAAUCAUAAUAAUACUUUUGACACGUUACUACUAGUAUUAGUUCACAAUUGCAUAUUGUUGUUUGCGUUGUUGUUCGUUAUUCAUUAGUUUCUAAUAAUUUGCCGGAGAUGUAUUAAUGCGAUAAGCCUUCAGAAUACGCCAAUGAAGUUAAACUGGCAAAACACGUUUGUCCGUUACAUAUAGAAGGUUAUUUAGUAAUUGCAGGCAGCGACUAACUGUUAUCUUCUGAGACAAGCCAGCGCCAUGGCCACGAAGCCUGAGCUUGAAGUGCCUCACCCUUAUUCAAUACUGCUUGUAUUGUGUAUGUGUUGCGUGCACGUGCAGAAGCACACUUCUGUACAAAAUUAAUUUUGACACCCGAAUUUCCGAGUACGAUCGAAUGAUCUAAAGGGUUCGCCAGUAGAUACGAAAUACAUAAUACAGUGCUGUAUUUUUGAUUUUAAUGAACUCCGCUGGCGGCAGGCAUUAUCUGCUCAGUUAAGCGUCUCUGGCUAGAGUUUAUU
RNAcentral lists this long non-coding RNA (2443 nucleotides) under Varroa destructor (honeybee mite). Its description in RNAcentral is "uncharacterized LOC111252320". The record is from RNAcentral. Lineage: Eukaryota; Metazoa; Arthropoda; Arachnida; Mesostigmata; Varroidae.